RNAcentral lists this ribosomal RNA (445 nucleotides) under uncultured bacterium. RNAcentral's name for it is "partial 16S ribosomal RNA". It matches the Rfam family "Bacterial small subunit ribosomal RNA", at positions 30 to 523 of the family's 1533-position model. The record is from RNAcentral.
CGAACGCUGGCGGCAGGCCUAAUACAUGCAAGUCGAACGGCCCUUCGGAGCAGUGGCGGACGGGUGAGUAACGCGUGGGAAUGUGCCCUUAGGUACGGAACAACACAGGGAAACUUGUGCUAAUACCGUAUGUGCCCUUCGGGGGGAAGAUUUAUCGCCUUUGGAGCAGCCCGCGUUGGAUUAGGUAGUUGGUGAGGUAAAGGCUCACCAAGCCGACGAUCCAUAGCUGGUCUGAGAGGAUGACCAGCCACACUGGGACUGAGACACGGCCCAGACUCCUACGGGAGGCAGCAGUAGGGAAUCUUGCGCAAUGGGCGAAAGCCUGACGCAGCCAUGCCGCGUGUAUGAUGAAGGUCUUAGGAUUGUAAAAUACUUUCACCGGGGAAGAUAAUGACGGUACCCGGAGAAGAAGCCCCGGCUAACUUCGUGCCAGCCGCCGCGGUAA